UACGGAGGAUCCAAGCGUUAUCCGGAUUCAUUGGGUUUAAAGGGUGCGUAGGCGGCCUUAUAAGUCAGUGGUGAAAUCCCGCAGCUCAACUGCGGAACUGCCAUUGAUACUGUAGGGCUUGAAUGGCGAUGAUGUUGGCGGAAUGUGCCAUGUAGCGGUGAAAUGCUUAGAUAUGGCACAGAACACCGAUUGUGAAGACAGCUGACAAAACGUUCAUUGACGCUGAGGCACGAAAGUGUGGGGAUCAAACAGG
This 253-nucleotide ribosomal RNA is filed under the name uncultured bacterium. Its description in RNAcentral is "partial 16S ribosomal RNA". It matches the Rfam family "Bacterial small subunit ribosomal RNA", at positions 524 to 776 of the family's 1533-position model. The record is from RNAcentral.